UGGGGAAUAUUGGACAAUGGGCGCAAGCCUGAUCCAGCAAUGCCGCGUGAGUGAGGAAGGCCUUAGGGUUGUAAAGCUCUUUCGGCGGGGACGAUGAUGACGGUACCCGCAGAAGAAGCCCCGGCUAACUUCGUGCCAGCAGCCGCGGUAAUACGAAGGGGCGAGCGUGUUCGAUUAGCUUGGCGUGAAAGGGCGACGGCAGGCGGCCGGCUUGUCAGGUGUGAAAGCCCCGGCGUCACCACUGGGAGGUGCACCUGGGACGGGUUGGCUGGAGAUCGGGAGAGGAGCGUGGAAUUCCCAGUGUAGAGGUGAAAUUCGUAGAUAUUGGGAAGAACACCGGUGGCGAAGGCGGCGCUCUGGACCGAUUACUGACGCUGAGGCGCG
Molecule: ribosomal RNA, 384 nt
Filed under: uncultured Rhodospirillales bacterium
Lineage: Bacteria; Pseudomonadati; Pseudomonadota; Alphaproteobacteria; Rhodospirillales
Description: bacterial SSU rRNA
Rfam family: Bacterial small subunit ribosomal RNA
Source: RNAcentral